UACAGAGGGGGCAAGCGUUGUUCGGAAUUACUGGGCGUAAAGGGCGCGUAGGCGGCCUUCUAAGUCGAACGUGAAAUCCCCGGGCUCAACCCGGGAACUGCGUCCGAUACUGGAAGGCUUGAAUCCGGGAGAGGGAUGCGGAAUUCCAGGUGUAGCGGUGAAAUGCGUAGAUAUCAGGAGGAACACCGGUGGCGAAGGCGGGUCUCUGGGCCGUAACUGACGCUGAGGAGCGAAAGCGUGGGGAGCGAACAGG
Molecule: ribosomal RNA, 253 nt
Filed under: uncultured bacterium
Lineage: Bacteria
Description: partial 16S ribosomal RNA
Rfam family: Bacterial small subunit ribosomal RNA
Source: RNAcentral